UAACUGUAUAAAAGAAAAGCUCCACAUUCAGAGCCACUCUACAACAACCUCCUUGACCAUCUACGAGACAAUCUGCUGAAGUUGUGAAGACUUGAAGUGUGAUCACUGUAACCAUGCUGAAGGUAGUAUUUAUACUUGGAUGCCUCCUGAUCUUUGCUCUGGCUCAGCCUUCGGAUAUGGAGCACAAACGACUUGCUCGGUCACACUCUCGCUCUCACCACCGCUCACAUUCCAAGGUGCAUAACACCCGACCACCUAUGGUGACCUUCCCGUCUACAAUGAGUAUCCCACAGUGGGUCAAGGACUUACUUGCCGCCCUUCAACAAACCACUACUGCAGCACCUGCUACUACUACAAAAUAAAAUCUGGAAUAUAACCAGAGAUAAAAAAAUUAACGAAUUUUGACAUCUGCUUUGUUUUGUGUCAGCUUUUCAC
Long non-coding RNA from Etheostoma spectabile (orangethroat darter), 435 nucleotides. RefSeq lists it as uncharacterized. NCBI's taxonomy places the organism in Eukaryota, Metazoa, Chordata, Actinopteri, Perciformes, Percidae. The record is from RefSeq and is a predicted model, not a curated record. The transcript is spliced from 4 exons.